UGAGGAAUUUUGCGCAAUGGGAGCAAUCCUGACGCAGCAACGCCGCGUGGGUGAUGAAGGCCUUCGGGUCGUAAAGCCCUGUCAGGUGGGAAGAAUGUCCCGGAACUGAACAGGUUUCGGGAGUGACGGUACCACCAGAGGAAGCACCGGCUAACUCCGUGCCAGCAGCCGCGGUAAUACGGAGGGUGCGAGAGUUAUUCGGAAUUACUGGGCGUAAAGCGCGUGCAGGCGGCCAUGCAAGUCUGAUGUGAAAGCCCCGGGCUUAACCUGGGAAGUGCAUUGGAAACUGCAUGGCUUGAGUACUGGAGAGGAAGGGGGAAUUCCCGGUGUAGAGGUGAAAUUCGUAGAGAUCGGGAGGAAUAUCAGUGGCGAAGGCGCCCAUCUGGACGGUAACUGACGCUGAGACGCGAAAGCGUGGGGAGCAAACA
Molecule: ribosomal RNA, 428 nt
Filed under: uncultured prokaryote
Description: bacterial SSU rRNA
Rfam family: Bacterial small subunit ribosomal RNA
Source: RNAcentral